GACGAACGCUGGCGGCGUGCUUAACACAUGCAAGUCGAACGGAAAGGCCCUGCUUUUGUGGGGUGCUCGAGUGGCGAACGGGUGAGUAACACGUGAGUAACCUGCCCUUGACUUUGGGAUAACUUCAGGAAACUGGGGCUAAUACCGGAUAGGAGCUCCUGCUGCAUGGUGGGGGUUGGAAAGUUUCGGCGGUUGGGGAUGGACUCGCGGCUUAUCAGCUUGUUGGUGGGGUAGUGGCUUACCAAGGCUUUGACGGGUAGCCGGCCUGAGAGGGUGACCGGCCACAUUGGGACUGAGAUACGGCCCAGACUCCUACGGGAGGCAGCAGUGGGGAAUAUUGCACAUUGGGCGGAAGCCUGAUGCAGCAACGCCGCGUGCGGGAUGACGGCCUUCGGGUUGUAAGCCGCUUUCGCCUGUGACGAAGCGUGAGUGACGGUAAUGGGUAAAGAAGCACCGGCUAACUACGUG
This 468-nucleotide ribosomal RNA is filed under the name uncultured bacterium. RNAcentral describes it as "partial 16S ribosomal RNA". It matches the Rfam family "Bacterial small subunit ribosomal RNA", at positions 28 to 507 of the family's 1533-position model. The record is from RNAcentral.